CGUCCUUACCCAGACGUGGAAUCCACGAUCUCUCGUCUCUCCACGUCGCAUCCCAAUCCCCAUCUCGCUUCUCGCUUCUUUGACCGGCGGCGCCGAUGCUCCUCCGCCGCGGCGCCGCCUCCUCCUCCUCUUCCAUGGCCUUUCCAGCGCCAUCGUUUUACCCGUCCUCCAACAGUGCUUCCCUAAAGUGUACGGUGGUGGCUGCGCUCGAUGGAGGGGCUCAACGGCGGUUUCAACAUAGCCUUGAGGUCGGGGACCUGGCGGCGGCGUCGGAGCCUCUAGCACAGGGGUUUGGCAGCGGCGGCUGCUGCUGGAGGUCCCAGCGAUUUAAGGUCGCUGCGGCUCUCCCAACAGUUUUUUGGAGGUCUUCGACGUGGUGACGACGCAUCGAGUUCGACGGGUCACUGUCGCCGCUGGCGGUUAGGUGCGUGAUUAGCAGCUCCCUGUGUUUUCCCCUUUCAUCAAUGGGCUUGUGAUUCAAGCGAUUACAUUGAUUUAAAUGUGGAUUUCGAGUUUCUACUGUCUACUGGGUAGGCCAAUGGCAUAGAGGAGGAUUAGGACGAGAAGAAGCUGUCCUCUCUGUUGCCUCUCCUGUACAGCCCAACAUACUACUAUCAUAUUGUCUGUAGCUAGCACAUGCAGAAGAUAGACUGGCAGGAUGAGGUGGUGGUGGUUCUUCCCCAGACCCGUCACUGCUCUGGUUGCAUUUAUUACCUUUUGGGUUGUUGUCCUAUGAAUUGAGCCUAAUUAGUUGAUAUUCAACAGCUGGAGGUUAUAUUUCCUUUUUACAUUGCAUCUUCUUGGUUGUUCAACAGCAGUGAUAGCAUUUGUUCCCUUAGUGAAACAGCUAUCUUGUUGUAGCAGUGAUAGCUUUUGUUCCCUUAGUGAAAUAGCUUUUGGCAAAUUGUACUAUCUUGUUGUAUUGGCUAGAUGAGUGUCCUAGAUGUUUAAUAUGGCCCGAGGAGUUUGCUAAGAUGUGUGACAGAAUUCAAAAAUAUAUUUCAAUAGAAUUUUUGUUGUUACCUCUAAAUAAAAGAAUAAUGUUCUAAAUGAUAACUAUAUUAUGUUGAAUCAUCUCUAAAGAGUUCCUUCUGUUUUUGUUCCCACUGGUUCCAUUUACAUGGUCAUGAAGCAGUUUGCUUGCUGGACCUUUUGCGUCGCUUACAUGGCUCCUCCCAUUAUAUCUGGCUUUUAGGUAAAGACUAUUCAUUUCUUUGAUUGUUGGAUAACUAAGCCAGGGUGAUGUGAAUUGCUGAUUGCUGAUUCUACUGUAUUUAAUACAAAUUUUUCCUAUCUUUUUAACAGUGCUUCAGAGGGCAAUGAAUUCUUCUGAAGUUUUCCAUUGUUACCUGUUUUCAGUUUCAGUAAAAAACUAAGCUCUUCAAUGUAAAUGGGACAACAAUUUGAAUAGUUACUAUAAGAUCUUUUGGGAUCAAAAGAUUUACUUGUUGCAGGCUUAACUUUCAUUUACAUUGCAGAAACUUAUCAUUGGUAGAUAAGGAUGUGUUAAAAGGGGCUUGCUUAGUACAACUCAAGGCGAGGCUAAUACUAUGCCAUUCAGAACACGAUAGCCAUGACAGCCAGGCAAAGGCAACGGAAAAAGGAACUACAUAUGCUUGCAUUGAAGUUUCUUUGGGGAACCAGGAGAUGCUUUAAUCUUUAUUGAUGUAUUGUCCUAUGGUUUGUUGGAUAGUCGAUCUACAAAAUUAAUCCUAGCACUCCCAAUUUACCUACAAGAGGUAUUCUUGGAUGGGUACAACAUGUUAGUUUGGUUCGGUUUUGUCAAUACAAAAUCAUGAGGAUUUCUAGAUGUGUAUAUUCUGUGAUAUUAUCUAUAAUUUGAUAUAUAUUAAAUUUAUCUGAUUAUACAUGAGUUUAUAUAUGCGACACCAUUACGAACUGCUACUAUAGUCUCCCCGUGUUCUCUUCAUACACAUGAAUAACAUAUAUGGUACAAUAAAAGAGAAUUGUAGUUUUACAGCCUCUGUGCAAGUAGCUUUUUAAGUUUAAAUGGUAAAUAUUUAGUUUUACCUUAAGAGAAGUUUACCAAAAAAAAGUUCUUUCAACUGAGAUGCUUAUGAUGUGUGCUUGAUGUCGCCUUAGUCAAUCUUGAUAGGCCCAAGAUCCCCGCUCAAUCUUCAAGGAAUAGGUUUACUUCAUGAUAAUUCAUGUCUCAUGUUAAUAUUGGGAGAGGCAACCCACUAUGCUCAGCUCAUGGAUCUUCAGGAAUGGAGCUGCCAGCAUCUUAUUGACAAACAAAUACAAGGAAAAAUACUCCAUGCACAUCAACGGUUAAUGCUUUUCUAUGAGCUGGUCUUAAUAUCUCUAGGCUGCACUGUGUUAGGCUGGAGCACCCCGGUCCAAUUCUUUUGCCUACCAAAUAAACUUACCAACACCAAGCCAGUUGAGUGCUGCAAUGUGCAAAUUAAACAAUAUGGUCUCUGUAGCCUGCUCAGCAGGAAAACCAUUUGAAAUACCUGUGGAAAUAUCCCUAAACAUGCAUUAACCAUGAUGAUCAUUUUUUUUUAAAUACUGUACGGUAGGUAGAUCGAUAUUUGUCAACGCCUUAGCUAUACUAGAAUACGAGGGGCAUCUAAGAGAAAAAUACAAAUAUUGAAGGCUCUCAUGGUAGUUUGGUAGCUAAUUAAUCACAUAGGUGAUGUAUAUUUGUUUCUAGCAUUUAUAUCAGUCCAUUGAUUCACAGUGGAUACUCAGUUAUUGCAUUUAGAUGUCUCUUUUCAGGAACCUUUAUAUUUAAGUUCCUUUA
This is a non-coding RNA of Oryza sativa Japonica Group (Japanese rice), 2767 nucleotides long. Lineage: Eukaryota; Viridiplantae; Streptophyta; Magnoliopsida; Poales; Poaceae. The record is from RefSeq and is a predicted model, not a curated record.